UGUUGUUUCAGUUUUGUGUUCAUCGUGUGGAAAAAGCUCCCACAGGCAAGAGGAUUUUUCUGAUAUCAGCGUUGCCAUAACUGAGAAGAAUUCCCUUGAACAUAGUGUGAUGAGAUACUUUGGGCAUGAAAGCAUUCCAACGUAUCGAUGCGAGAGGCAAGUUUGAAUAACGUAUAAACCCGUUAUCCUGUA
Molecule: long non-coding RNA, 192 nt
Organism: Nematostella vectensis (starlet sea anemone)
Lineage: Eukaryota; Metazoa; Cnidaria; Anthozoa; Actiniaria; Edwardsiidae
Exons: 2
Source: RefSeq, a predicted model, not a curated record